RNAcentral lists this ribosomal RNA (470 nucleotides) under uncultured bacterium. Its description in RNAcentral is "partial 16S ribosomal RNA". It matches the Rfam family "Bacterial small subunit ribosomal RNA", at positions 28 to 507 of the family's 1533-position model. The record is from RNAcentral.
GACGAACGCUGGCGGCGUGCUUAACACAUGCAAGUCGAACGCUGAAGCACCAGCUUGCUGGUGUGGAUGAGUGGCGAACGGGUGAGUAAUACGUGAGUAACCUGCCCUUGACUCUGGGAUAAGCCCGGGAAACUGGGUCUAAUACUGGAUGCUACAUGUCACCGCAUGGUGGUGUGUGGAAAGGGUUUACUGGUCUUGGAUGGGCUCACGGCCUAUCAGCUUGUUGGUGAGGUAAUGGCUCACCAAGGCGACGACGGGUAGCCGGCCUGAGAGGGUGACCGGCCACACUGGGACUGGGACACGGCCCAGACUCCUACGGGAGGCAGCAGUGGGGAAUAUUGCACAAUGGGCGAAAGCCUGAUGCAGCGACGCCGCGUGAGGGAUGACGGCCUUCGGGUUGUAAACCUCUUUCAGCAGGGAAGAAGCCACAAGUGACGGUACCUGCAGAAGAAGCGCCGGCUAACUACGUG